This 379-nucleotide ribosomal RNA is filed under the name uncultured bacterium. Its description in RNAcentral is "bacterial SSU rRNA". It matches the Rfam family "Bacterial small subunit ribosomal RNA", at positions 335 to 706 of the family's 1533-position model. The record is from RNAcentral.
ACUCCUACGGGAGGCAGCAGUAGGGAAUCUUCCACAAUGGGCGCAAGCCUGAUGGAGCAACACCGCGUGAGUGAAGAAGGGUUUCGGCUCGUAAAGCUCUGUUGUUAAAGAAGAACACGUAUGAGAGUAACUGUUCAUACGUUGACGGUAUUUAACCAGAAAGUCACGGCUAACUACGUGCCAGCAGCCGCGGUAAUACGUAGGUGGCAAGCGUUAUCCGGAUUUAUUGGGCGUAAAGAGAGUGCAGGCGGUUUUCUAAGUCUGAUGUGAAAGCCUUCGGCUUAACCGGAGAAGUGCAUCGGAAACUGGAUAACUUGAGUGCAGAAGAGGGUAGUGGAACUCCAUGUGUAGCGGUGGAAUGCGUAGAUAUAUGGAAGAG